AGAGUUUGAUCCUGGCUCAGGAUGAACGCUAGCGGCAGGCCUAAUACAUGCAAGUCGAACGGACUGGAGUAGCAAUACUUCAGUUAGUGGCGCACGGGUGCGUAACGCGUAUGCAACCUCCUUUUAUUGGGGGAUAGCCCGAGGAAACUCGGAUUAAUACCGCAUAAGACUGUUUGAGGGCAUCUGAAGACAGUUAAAGCUAAGGCGAUAGAAGAUGGGCAUGCGUGUCAUUAGCUAGUUGGUGGUGGUAACGGCCCACCAAGGCGACGAUGACUAGGGGUUCUGAGAGAGAUCCCCCACACUGGUACUGAGAUACGGCCAGACUCCUACGGGAGGCAGCAGUAGGGAAUAUUGGGCAAUGGAGGCAACUCUGACCCAGCCAUGCCGCGUGCAGGAUGAAGGCCUUCUGGGUUGUAAACUGCUUUUACCAGGGAAGAAAAAACUCUUGCGAGAGGAACUGACGGUACCUGGUGAAUAAGCACCGGCUNNCUCCGUGCCAGCAGCCGCGGUAAUACGGAGGGUGCAAGCGUUGUCCGGAUUUAUUGGGUUUAAAGGGUGCGUAGGCGGCCCGUUAAGUCCGUGGUGAAAGCCAACAGCUCAACUGUUGAACUGCCAUGGAUACUGACGGGCUUGAGUACAGACGAGGUAGGCGGAAUGGAUGGUGUAGCGGUGAAAUGCAUAGAUACCAUCCAGAACACCGAUUGCGUAGGCAGCUUCUAGGCUGUAACUGCNNUGAGGCACGAAACGUGGGGAGCGAACAGGAUUAGAUACCCUAGUAGUCC
This 782-nucleotide ribosomal RNA is filed under the name uncultured bacterium. RNAcentral describes it as "bacterial SSU rRNA". It matches the Rfam family "Bacterial small subunit ribosomal RNA", at positions 8 to 796 of the family's 1533-position model. The record is from RNAcentral.